Tachysurus vachellii is the source of this 227-nucleotide long non-coding RNA. RefSeq lists it as uncharacterized. The record is from RefSeq and is a predicted model, not a curated record. Lineage: Eukaryota; Metazoa; Chordata; Actinopteri; Siluriformes; Bagridae. The transcript has 3 exons.
GUGAAGUGUUUAAGAGUACAGGAAGUGUCGAGGCAUUAACACAGACACUUGUCGUUCAGUCAGUCAGACAGUCAUCAGUUGGACAGGAUGGAGCUCCGUCCACUCUGUGUGAUGUUCUUGCUGACUGAACUCAUCCUCUGUACACAAACAGGUGAUUUAGGUUGCACUAACACUUCCUGUCAGCAGCUGUACAUGUGAAGGAUCAUUUAGUGCCCUCAUAUUUCUGC